CAAACUUGAGAACUUGGCAAACCCCCUUCCCGCCAUGCCUUUCAAUUUGUAUACAGCGAUGGCGAUUCACUGGUUCCUCAUUCACUCUCACAACUUACUUCUUUAAUUUUGAAAAUUUCGCAAAACUCAGAUCCACCAUUCCAAAUCACCGAGCGAACUCGUAGAGUGACCUAAUCCAACGUUUCGAUCUAUCGAUUAGGGAUUUGCUUCGCCUUUCUAGGAAUAGAAACCGUUCGGUUUUGUUCAAAUGAAGAUGAAGCUCAACAAAGCCUGCGAUCUCAGCUCCAUCUCGGUCUUUCCUCCUCAAUCGAGGAAACCUAAUGCUAUACCAACUGGACCACAAGCAUCACAGCUUCGUUCCCAAUCAUCACAGCAAUCAUUUUCACGGGGACUAUCAUCUCAGCAUGGCAUGUUCUCUCAACUAUCUCAAAACUCGCUUGAUGACACUGUGACACUUGAUCAGAGAUUUGGUUCUCAAGAUCGAGAGAACUCAGGGAAGAAGAUGUCUUGCUUGGUCCCGGUAAACUAUGCACGAGAAGAGAGUCAAAUGCCUAGCUUGAGAUCUUCCAACAACCUGAUACGUAAAUGGAAUCCUGCUUCUGUUCAAGAUAAUAAAUGUCAAAUAAGUGAAGAACUUGAACAUCGGAUUGGAAUGAUAGAAACUUCAAUACACAGGUUUGGAAUGAUCUUGGAUUCUGUUCAGGGUGACAUCAUGCAAGUAAAUAAGGGAACAAAAGAAGUAUUGUUGGAGAUGGAAAGUAUUCGGCAGAAGCUGCUCAUUCAUGACACCUCCUUGCAGCUAAUGAAAAAAGGACAAGAAGAUGUUAAAGCUAGCCUUCAAGGGGGAUUCAAAUCUGUAUCUGAUAAACUGAGCAAGGAUGUCUGUCAGGACAAGUUACAGCAAAUUUCCUUGCUGCUUUCGGCUUUUCCAGAGCAAAUAGAAGCUUCUCAUUUAAAAUUACAAACCCAGCUCUGCAACUCCUUCAACAAAGAAAUGCAGGCAGUAGCAUGCAGCCUGAAGAAUCCUGCCUUAAAUGUUCUUCCACCAAAGGAUACUGCCUCCUGUAUCACUCCAUCAAGAAAGCUACAGUCCCUCAGAAAUUCACCUGUGCCUCAAAAAGUUUGUGCGCAUGAAAAUCAAGCUCCAAAAAUAGAAACGGGAGGUUGGAAAUCAGUAAAGUCAGGAAAAGCUACUGUCAAGGAGAAGGCAUCACAUGAUGAGCACAAAAGGAAGGAUGCUUCUCUCAUCAAACAGGAAAGAGAAUGUAGAGUUAUCAUCGAUUCGGAUGAGGAUGUUGAUGGGGGUUUUUCAUGUUUGCUUGAUGAGAAGAAAGCAGAUAUCGAAGAAUAUCUGAAUGAGGAAAAAACAAAGCGAGAGACUGAAAGGAUUUUGAGAAGAGCAAGAAGGCAAAGGAGAAAGUACUGUAAUCCCAUAAUUAUUAAUUGAAGACGAAAGACAAGCGUCUUCAACGGAUCGAGUUCUUUGUCACAGUCUGUCUGUGUUGCAUUAUUAACAAUGUUCAUCAUCUGCAACUGCAAAGCCAACACAUGCCUGCCACCUGACCAUCAUUACAACGGACAUGUUCUUUCCUUGGAUUACAAUCCACUAUUGUGAGCUUAGAAAUUGAAGCAAGGAAUCAUAUACAAAGAUAUGGGGGCCCUCUAAGCACUACCCUUUUCAUUGUAAAGGCUUCUGAUUUUUCAAAGUGCUCCUCACAGGGACAACUCCAAUAACCAAUUGAAAAACUCCUUGUUUAUCAUUAUAAUUGUUAUAUAAUAUUUGCUUAGUGAACAAUGAUUUGAGAGCAAACUUG
This is an RNA transcript of Tripterygium wilfordii, 1814 nucleotides long. It is a transcript of the gene named putative recombination initiation defects 3, with no coding region annotated. The transcript is spliced from 13 exons. The record is from RefSeq and is a predicted model, not a curated record. NCBI's taxonomy places the organism in Eukaryota, Viridiplantae, Streptophyta, Magnoliopsida, Celastrales, Celastraceae.